Molecule: ribosomal RNA, 499 nt
Filed under: uncultured bacterium
Lineage: Bacteria
Description: partial 16S ribosomal RNA
Rfam family: Bacterial small subunit ribosomal RNA
Source: RNAcentral
GACGAACGCUGGCGGCGUGCCUAAUACAUGCAAGUCGAGCGAAGUUUUUCUGGUUUUUGCACUAGAAAGACUUAGCGGCGAGCGGGUGAGUAACACGUAAAGUACCUGCCUCAUAGACUGGGACAACUAUUGGAAACGAUAGCUAAUACCGGAUAACAGUAUUUCUCGCAUGAGAGAUAUUUAAUUGUUGGUUAUGCUAACACUAUGAGAUGGCUUUGCGGUGCAUUAGCUAGUUGGUGGGGUAAAGGCCCACCAAGGCGACGAUGCAUAGCCGACCUGAGAGGGUGAUCGGCCACCCGGGGACUGAGACACGGCCCAGACUCCUGCGGGAGGCCGCAGUAGGGAAUCUUACGCAAUGGGGGAAAGCCUGACGGAGCAACGGCGAGUGAGUGAAGAAGGAGUUCGGUUCGUAAAGCUCUGUUGUUAGGGAAGAAUGGAUAUGUAGUAACUAUACAUGUAAGAGACGGUACCUAACCAGAAAGCCACGGCUAACUACGUG